This 305-nucleotide ribosomal RNA is filed under the name uncultured bacterium. RNAcentral describes it as "bacterial SSU rRNA". It matches the Rfam family "Bacterial small subunit ribosomal RNA", at positions 337 to 643 of the family's 1533-position model. The record is from RNAcentral.
GCCUACGGGGCGCAGCAGUGGGGGAUAUUGCACAAUGGGGGAAACCCUGAUGCAGCGACGCCGCGUGAGUGAAGAAGUAUUUCGGUAUGUAAAGCUCUAUCGGCAGGGAAGAAAAAGCGCGCGAGCGCCCUUGACAGUACCUGACUAAGAAGCCCCGGCUAACUACGUGCCAGCAGCCGCGGUAAUACGUAGGGGGCAAGCGUUAUCCGGGUUUACUGGGUGUAAAGGGAGCGUAGGCGGCCAUGCAAGUCAGAAGAGAAAACCCGGGGCUCAACCCUGGGAGGGCUUUUGAAACUGUGCGGCUU